Molecule: non-coding RNA, 184 nt
Filed under: Atlantibacter hermannii
Lineage: Bacteria; Pseudomonadati; Pseudomonadota; Gammaproteobacteria; Enterobacterales; Enterobacteriaceae
Also listed under: 2 other names
Description: 6S RNA
Rfam family: 6S / SsrS RNA
About the family: E. coli 6S RNA was the first non coding RNA to be sequenced, but its function was unknown until recently. It consists of 184 nucleotides that fold into an extended hairpin structure with a large single-stranded internal bulge. The 6S RNA specifically associates with RNA polymerase holoenzyme containing the sigma70 specificity factor.
Source: RNAcentral
AUUUCUCUGAGAUGUUCGCAAGCGGGCCAGUCCCCUGAGCCGAUAUUUCAUACCAACAGAAUGUGGCGCUCCAUGGUUGGUGAGCAUGCUCGGUUCGUCCGAGAAGCCUUAAGACCAUGACGACACAUUCACCUUGAACCAAGGGUUCAAGGGUUACAGCCUGCGGCGGCAUCUCGGAGAUUCC